GAUGAACGCUGGCGGUAUGCUUAACACAUGCAAGUCGAACGGACUCUUCGGAGUUAGUGGCGGACGGGUGAGUAACGCGUGAGAAUCUGGCUUUGGGUUCGGGACAACCACUGGAAACGGUGGCUAAUACCGGAUGUGCCGAGAGGUAAAAGAGAAAUUGCCUGAAGAUGAGCUCGCGUCUGAUUAGCUAGUUGGUGAGGUAAAGGCUCACCAAGGCAGCGAUCAGUAGCUGGUCUGAGAGGAUGACCAGCCACACUGGGACUGGGACACGGCCCAGACGCGUACGGGAGGCAGGAGUGGGGAAGUCUCCGCCAUGGGCGAAAGCCUGACGGAGCAAUACCGAGUGAGGGAAGAAGGCUCUUGGGUUGUAGAACUAUGUGCUUAGGGAAGAACAGAAUGACGGUACCUAAGGAAGCAGCAUCGGCUAACUCCGUG
RNAcentral lists this ribosomal RNA (435 nucleotides) under uncultured bacterium. RNAcentral's name for it is "partial 16S ribosomal RNA". It matches the Rfam family "Bacterial small subunit ribosomal RNA", at positions 28 to 507 of the family's 1533-position model. The record is from RNAcentral.